Zonotrichia leucophrys gambelii is the source of this 1575-nucleotide long non-coding RNA. RefSeq lists it as uncharacterized. The transcript is spliced from 3 exons. Lineage: Eukaryota; Metazoa; Chordata; Aves; Passeriformes; Passerellidae. The record is from RefSeq and is a predicted model, not a curated record.
UUGGAAUGGGCUCAUCCCAAUUCCCUGAGAGCAGGAAAAGCUGGGAUUUGGGGCUGGGCUGAUCCCACUCUCCAGGCUCUGGCUCUCCCUGGAGCGGUGGCUCAGAUGCAGAGGGCAGCUCUGACCCGUGUCCCUUUCUCUCUCCUCACCAGCAAUCACCACUCCCAGCCCAGGUAUCUCAUCCAAGGACAGCAUAGCUGUGGCUGUGGCUGUGGUUGUGCCUAUAUCGCUUGGUUUGCUGCUUUUAGCCUUAUAUCUCUUCUAUAAAUAUGGAGUGCCCUGGAUGAGGAGAAGGCGCCGGAGCAGCGCUGGCAGCCAGGGCGACUCACACGGUGCUGCUGGGGACAUGGACACGCAGGCUGAGUCAUUUCUGUGAUGGAGCACAUCAACCCUUUGGUGCUGUACAACACUCCAAAUACUGUGAUAAAGCUUUAGAACAAACAAACCUAACAAACAAACACUAAUUCUCUCCCAGAUGAGGAAAAGGGACAAGGUGAAAACACAUAAAGAAAAUAACAUUACACCGAGGUCAGUAAGUAUGGAAAUUGUAGGUGGGAGGGGAUUGAGGAGAUGCCUUAGUCACCUUUUGGAAGGCUGUGGUGAAGAUACAUUUGAUAUUAUCAGACUUUGUGUUUUCCCUGUAAUUCAUGGCUGGAUGUAGCAUUCUAACCACAGCCAUGAGAAGCAUCAAUAUUGAAAUAAGCAGAUGUUGAGGUAGCUGUGAUCCAAUGAGAAGUUUGAACAGAGAGGGAUGAGAAAGGUGAAAAACACUGCCCUGUGAUCCCAGAGAUGGAUUAAAAGAACUUUUGUUUUUAUGCUAGAAUAGCUCAUCCUGAAAAAUACCCCCCCAGUAAGUUGUCAUGGCCCCCGAAUGCAGCAGCCACGAGAGAACUGUUCCUUGCUGUGGCAGCUGUAGCUUGAAACUGGACAAAAACACCAAUUUUGUGUGGUUUUGGUUCACUCAUUUGAGAUUUCUCUGUUAAUGCACUGAAAUUAGUGUAAUGGGCUUAGUGAUUAGCUAAAUUAGCUGCCACUGAUCACUAGUGGCAGCACGAACCCCCUUGUGGGAAUAAUGUGCAUUGCCCCCUUGAUUUCAGAAGGCUGAGUAAAAUGCUUUAUUAAGCUAUGCUAUAUUAUUAUUAUUAAGCUAUGCUACAUUAUUAUUAUGAAGUGAUGCUACAUUAUUAUUAUUAAGCAAUGCUAUGUUGUUAUUAUUAUUAAGUUACACUAUACUGUACUACCAAUACUCCACACUAACUAGAAGAACCCAUGACCAGUCAGUCACCACACAGCUUUGACCAAAUUGGUCAAUCAGUCCAAACAACCAUCACCAGAGUCCAAUUAACAAAUCACUCUCAGUAAAAAAAUCUCCAUAAUAUAUUCCACAUGUGCCAAACAACAGGAGCAGCAGGUAGAGACAAGAUUUGUUUUCUGUUCUCUCUCAGGGUUUUCUCACUCCCUUCCUCAGGAAAAAUUCUGGGAGAGAAAUUAUCUCUGUUCAAAAAAUGUGAAUACGACACACUGGAACGUAAUUACCCUUUUAUUGUGACAUAGGAUUAGGGAAUGGCAAAGCAG